AAUAAAAUCUCUUUAAAAGUAAAAUGGAAAAUGAGAAGAUAAUCUGGCCUCCAGCUCUAAAGUUCAAUAUUCUUUCUGUCCUUAUCUUUUCUUCCAGGAACAAACAGAGUCACUUAAUGGCUUGAGGUGACAGGUUCUGAGGAUGCCAAGGUCAAGGGCUCUGCGGCAGGAAAGGCACACCAAGGACGUCAGAAGAGGGUGUGAAGCCCUGGAACUGGAGCUGAAGACAAUUAAAGUUUGGUUGGUCCUGGUGCCUCAGCAAAGCCAUCAUGCUAAAGACUGAGUGACAGACCCCUCAGAACUCAUCUACGGAAGUCCUAACUUCGACGUGACUGCGGAGAGGGACUUUAUGGAAGCGACGAAGUCACAGGGAUGGCCCCCUCAGCUCAUAAGAUUAGUGCCCUUAAAAUUAAAAAAAGAGAUACCUAGUGACCCUGAAGAGCCUUGGCCUUGGACAGCUAACCUCUAGGACGGUGUGAAAUCAAUGUCUGCUGUGUUGGAUGCUUUUGUAGCCCAGUGUGCGAUAAGUAGAGCUUGCUGGGGGCGGGGGAUCCAAACUGUGUGCCUUUUAAUACUGCCUCCGACAGCGUGCCACACAGUCAGAAGCAGGGAGAAAUUGCCUGAUUAGUCUAGGUACGUUUUGUUACGGCAGCUGGAGCUGGCAUGUUCAAUUCACAUUGAGCCCUUCUCUCAGCCAAGUGUAAAACAAAUGCACUGACUGUCAGGAAAUCCGAACUUGCCUUUACAUACGUGACACUGUUAGCAUUCAAAUCCCACCAGCUUUUCUUUCUUUCUUUUUUUCUGCUGUCAUCUUUUUUUAAAACUAAUUUUUAAAUUAGCUUUCAUUCUACAUGUGUUUUGUUUGCUCAUUAAAAGUGAAUUUAAUUGGUCAU
Molecule: long non-coding RNA, 893 nt
Organism: Meriones unguiculatus (Mongolian gerbil)
Lineage: Eukaryota; Metazoa; Chordata; Mammalia; Rodentia; Muridae
Exons: 3
Source: RefSeq, a predicted model, not a curated record